UACGGGGGGGGCAAGCGUUGUUCGGAAUUACUGGGCGUAAAGGGCGCGUAGGCGGCCUUCUAAGUCGGACGUGAAAUCCCUCGGCUUAACCGAGGAACUGCGUCCGAUACUGAAAGGCUUGAAUCCGGGAGAGGGAUGUGGAAUUCCAGGUGUAGCGGUGAAAUGCGUAGAUAUCUGGAGGAACACCGAUGGCGAAGGCAGCCCCCUGGGCUAACACUGACGCUCAUGCACGAAAGCGUGGGGAGCAAACAGG
RNAcentral lists this ribosomal RNA (253 nucleotides) under uncultured bacterium. Its description in RNAcentral is "partial 16S ribosomal RNA". It matches the Rfam family "Bacterial small subunit ribosomal RNA", at positions 524 to 776 of the family's 1533-position model. The record is from RNAcentral.